UACCAUGUAUCUCAAUCAUCUCCACCCUU
RNAcentral lists this non-coding RNA (29 nucleotides) under Mus musculus (house mouse). Lineage: Eukaryota; Metazoa; Chordata; Mammalia; Rodentia; Muridae. The record is from RNAcentral.